This 503-nucleotide ribosomal RNA is filed under the name uncultured bacterium. Its description in RNAcentral is "partial 16S ribosomal RNA". It matches the Rfam family "Bacterial small subunit ribosomal RNA", at positions 30 to 523 of the family's 1533-position model. The record is from RNAcentral.
AUUGAACGCUGGCGGCAGGCUUAACACAUGCAAGUCGAGCGGGGUGAUGGUGCUUGCACUAUCACUUAGCGGCGGACGGGUGAGUAAUGCUUAGGAAUCUGCCUAUUAGUGGGGGACAACAUCUCGAAAGGGAUGCUAAUACCGCAUACGUCCUACGGGAGAAAGCAGGGGAUCACUUGUGACCUUGCGCUAAUAGAUGAGCCUAAGUCGGAUUAGCUAGUUGGUGGGGUAAAGGCCUACCAAGGCGACGAUCUGUAGCGGGUCUGAGAGGAUGAUCCGCCACACUGGGACUGAGACACGGCCCAGACUCCUACGGGAGGCAGCAGUGGGGAAUAUUGGACAAUGGGGGGAACCCUGAUCUAGCCAUGCCGCGUGUGUGAAGAAGGCCUUAUGGUUGUAAAGCACUUUAAGCGAGGAGGAGGCUUACCUAGUUAAUACCUGGGAUAAGAGGACGUUACUCGCAGAAUAAGCACCGGCUAACUCUGUGCCAGCCGCCGCAGUAA